This 74-nucleotide signal recognition particle RNA is filed under the name Escherichia coli. RNAcentral describes it as "partial signal recognition particle sRNA small type". It matches the Rfam family "Bacterial small signal recognition particle RNA", at positions 1 to 75 of the family's 97-position model. Rfam says of the family: The signal recognition particle (SRP) is a universally conserved ribonucleoprotein involved in the co-translational targeting of proteins to membranes. Archaeal SRP consists of a 7S RNA and homologues of the eukaryotic SRP19 and SRP54 proteins. Lineage: Bacteria; Pseudomonadati; Pseudomonadota; Gammaproteobacteria; Enterobacterales; Enterobacteriaceae. The record is from RNAcentral.
UGUUGGUUCUCCCGCAACGCUACUCUGUUUACCAGGUCAGGUCCGGAAGGAAGCAGCCAAGGCAGAUGACGCGU